This 241-nucleotide ribosomal RNA is filed under the name uncultured bacterium. Its description in RNAcentral is "partial 16S ribosomal RNA". It matches the Rfam family "Bacterial small subunit ribosomal RNA", at positions 15 to 248 of the family's 1533-position model. The record is from RNAcentral.
GAUCCUGGCUCAGGAUGAACGCUAGCGACAGGCUUAACACAUGCAAGUCGAGGGGCAGCACAGGUAGCAAUACCGGGUGGCGACCGGCGCACGGGUGAGUAACGCGUAUGCAACUUACCUAUCAGGAGGGGAUAACCCGGCGAAAAGUCGGACUAAUACCGCAUGAAGCAGGGGCCCCGCAUGGGGAUAGUUUGGACUAAAGAUUUAUCGCUGAUAGAUAGGCAUGCGUUCCAUUAGGCAG